CACUGUUGUGUUGUAAUGUUGGAAUGAUAUUGUGCGGAAAAAUAACCACUGAUGUAUUCCAUUUUCCCUUAUGUCAUGGCAAUUUAAAAGAUCCAUAUGGAGGAAGAAUUUCAUUUAAUGUAGCAGGUUCAAUCCACAAAGAUGAAAAAGUUGUCAGAAUACCCAUUACGAUUCCGUAUUGCAUGGACCUAACCUACGUAAAUGUGGCGGUGGACAACCCAGUCGGUCCUCCGGUGGUGUCUCUGGACCGAGACCUGUACGUGGUCACCAUCAAAUACCGCGAGUCUCAGAAAAGCGCGUCAACCUAUUCGGUCACCGCCAAGACUGUUCCUAUCAAGCAAUGCUACGAUUUCAACAAUUAUGGUUAUUAAAUCAAUUAAAGAUUUCAUUA
Molecule: long non-coding RNA, 391 nt
Organism: Ostrinia nubilalis (European corn borer)
Lineage: Eukaryota; Metazoa; Arthropoda; Insecta; Lepidoptera; Crambidae
Exons: 3
Source: RefSeq, a predicted model, not a curated record